Molecule: long non-coding RNA, 211 nt
Organism: Tympanuchus pallidicinctus (lesser prairie-chicken)
Lineage: Eukaryota; Metazoa; Chordata; Aves; Galliformes; Phasianidae
Exons: 3
Source: RefSeq, a predicted model, not a curated record
CCUCACCAGAGACCUCAGGUGCCUUUGGAGUUUAUAAUGAUCCUUCAACAUUUUCAGCUAUGAGGAAAAAGAAACGAGUUCACGUGCUUUUUGGCAUACUGAGAGAGCUCCCUGGUAUGACAACACAGGAGGUGGUCGGAACAUCAGAAGUCAGGCACUGCCUCUGCAGGACUGUGGUUAUAAGGAAAAGAGGAGGCUUGGUCCACUUAAG